RNAcentral lists this ribosomal RNA (465 nucleotides) under uncultured Klebsiella sp. Its description in RNAcentral is "bacterial SSU rRNA". It matches the Rfam family "Bacterial small subunit ribosomal RNA", at positions 338 to 795 of the family's 1533-position model. The record is from RNAcentral. Lineage: Bacteria; Pseudomonadati; Pseudomonadota; Gammaproteobacteria; Enterobacterales; Enterobacteriaceae.
CCUACGGGAGGCAGCAGUGGGGAAUAUUGCACAAUGGGCGCAAGCCUGAUGCAGCCAUGCCGCGUGUGUGAAGAAGGCCUUCGGGUUGUAAAGCACUUUCAGCGGGGAGGAAGGCGGUGAGGUUAAUAACCUCAUCGAUUGACGUUAGCCGCAGAAGAAGCACCGGCUAACUCCGUGCCAGCAGCCGCGGUAAUACGGAGGGUGCAAGCGUUAAUCGGAAUUACUGGGCGUAAAGCGCACGCAGGCGGUCUGUCAAGUCGGAUGUGAAAUCCCCGGGCUCAACCUGGGAACUGCAUUCGAAACUGGCAGGCUAGAGUCUUGUAGAGGGGGGUAGAAUUCCAGGUGUAGCGGUGAAAUGCGUAGAUAUCGGGAGGAAUACCGGUGGCGAAGGCGGCCCCCUGGACAAAGACUGACGCUCAGGUGCGAAAGCGUGGGGAGCGAACAGGAUUAGAUACCCGUGUAGUC